This 301-nucleotide ribosomal RNA is filed under the name uncultured bacterium. RNAcentral describes it as "partial 16S ribosomal RNA". It matches the Rfam family "Bacterial small subunit ribosomal RNA", at positions 509 to 807 of the family's 1533-position model. The record is from RNAcentral.
CAGUCGCCACGGUAAUACGUAGGGUGCGAGCGUUAAUCGGAAUUACUGGGCGUAAAGCGUGCGCAGGCGGUUCGUUAAGACAGAUGUGAAAUCCCCGGGCUUAACCUGGGAACUGCAUUUGUGACUGACGGGCUAGAGUAUGGCAGAGGGGGGUAGAAUUCCACGUGUAGCAGUGAAAUGCGUAGAGAUGUGGAGGAAUACCGAUGGCGAAGGCAGCCCCCUGGGCCAAUACUGACGCUCAUGCACGAAAGCGUGGGGAGCAAACAGGAUUAGAUAGCCCGGUAGUCCCUGUCUCUUAUAC